Molecule: long non-coding RNA, 1504 nt
Filed under: Homo sapiens (human)
Lineage: Eukaryota; Metazoa; Chordata; Mammalia; Primates; Hominidae
Description: HSALNT0243431
Source: RNAcentral
GUUUCUCCAUGUUGGUCAGGCUACCAACCUCAGGUAAUGCACUCGCCUCAGCCUCCCAAAGUGCUGGGAUUAUAGGCGUGAGCCACUGCGCCCAGCCUAAAACUUUUUUAAAAAAAAGUAGAAUAACUUUUAAAAAAGAAUGUAAAUGUCCUCAGAGUGCAUAAUACUACUGAAAAUAUAUGUGGCCAGGAUAUACAUUGGUGGGCACUAAGGUUAAGUACCCUUUUAGGAAAGGAUCUGGCUUCUUUGGUGAGUUCAUUCUAAUUCCUUUGGAUCCCAAGGCUCCUUUUGGGAGAAAAGUGUCUAAUUUACAUGCUGUUGGUCCUAACAGAGCUUCCUUUGAAAUAUACCAGAUAAUUAGGGAAAUUAUUAGGUAAGGAAAGGGCAUAAAAAAGGAGUAAGAAUUGAAUGGAUAGAAACUGUUACUGCUUGCCUUCUCCCAGGCAGGCCUGUCAAGCACUCUGCUUCUUUAACAGCCACCUGCAUGGAGAACCAACUAAGGAUCAUCACUGUUCAAUCUGAAUGUCCAUGUGGGGUUUGUUUGUUUGUUCACCUUUCCAUAACGGACCAGGAAAGUGGUCCAAUCGGGAAAUGAAUACCAUGCUGGAGUACACAGAACAUGCUUAUGAAUGAACAGGUAUCUUAUCCAUCAUUUGUGGAUACUAACUCAUAAGGAACUAGAAGAUUAUGAAGAAUGCUAUCUUAGUUCAUUUUCUGCUGCUAUAACAAUACCACAGACUGGGUAAUUUAUAAAGAACAAAGGUUUAUUUGGCUCAGUUUUGGAGGCUGGGAAGUCCAAGCGCAUGACACCAGGCUCUGGUGAGGGUCAUUCUAUGGUGGAAGAUGGAAGGCAGAAGCAAGCAUGUGACAGAGCAAGCAAAUUGGGCUGAACUCACCCUUUAGUCAGAAUCUCACUCUGCGAUAACCAGCCCACUCCUGCAAUAACUAACCUACUCCUGCGAUAACAGCAUUAAUUCAUUCAUGGGGGUGGAACCCUCAUGACCUAGUUUACUUUUUUUUGGUAGGGAUGGGGUCUCAGUAUGUUGUCCAGGCUGGUCUCUAACUCCUGUCCUCAAAUGUCCUCCUGCUUUGGCCACCCAAAGUGUUGCUGGCAUUACAGGUGUGAACUACCAUGCCCAGACCUAAUCACCUCUUAAAGGUCCCACCUCUUAACACCUUUUCAUUGGAGAUUACAUUUCCAACACAUGAACUUUGGGGACAUAUUGAAACCAUAGCACAUGUUUAAUAAAAAACUACCCUGAACAUAGUAUUUCUUUAAAAAUUUAGAAGAUAAUUCAACAUCUUGCCAUUGAUUCGGAAUUACUACACACAUGAUUCCAUAGUAUUUUUAUCACUUUCUAUUAAGGGCUUUAUAAAUUUCCCAGUACUGAUGUUUCCAAAAAAAAAAAAAAAAAAAGUCAUGUCUUUAUCACUGAUUUCAGUGCCCAAAAAUCUGGUCAUUUCAAAUAAAUCUUUGAUUUAUUUGAGGUUUUUUUUUUUUGGU